AUUGAACGCUGGCGGCAGGCUUAACACAUGCAUGUCGAGCGGAGCGAGGGUGCUUGCACCUUAGCUUAGCGGCGGACGGGUGAGUAAUGCUUAGGAAUCUGCCUAUUAGUGGGGGACAACAUUCCGAAAGGAAUGCUAAUGCCGCAUACGCCCUACGGGGGAAAGCAGGGGAUCUUCGGACCUUGCGCUAAUAGAUGAGCCUAGGUCGGAUUAGCUAGUUGGUGGGGUAAAGGCCUACCAAGGCGACGAUCUGUAGCGGGUCUGAGAGGAUGAUCCGCGACACUGGGACUGAGACACGGCCAAGACGCCGACGGGAGGCAGCAGGGGGGAAUAGUGGACAAGGGGGGGAGCCCUGAACCAGCCAUGCCGCGUGUGGGAAGAAGGCCUUAUGGUUGUAAAGCACUUUAAGCGAGGAGGAGGCUCUUUUGGUUAAUACCCAAGAUGAGUGGACGUUACUCGCAGAAUAAGCACCGGCUAACUCUGUGCCAGCCGCCGCAGUAA
RNAcentral lists this ribosomal RNA (501 nucleotides) under uncultured bacterium. RNAcentral describes it as "partial 16S ribosomal RNA". It matches the Rfam family "Bacterial small subunit ribosomal RNA", at positions 29 to 523 of the family's 1533-position model. The record is from RNAcentral.